Molecule: ribosomal RNA, 354 nt
Filed under: bacterium LimB-100-J-190
Lineage: Bacteria
Description: bacterial SSU rRNA
Rfam family: Bacterial small subunit ribosomal RNA
Source: RNAcentral
GGUCUGAGAGGAUGACCAGCCACACUGGAACUGAGACACGGUCCAGACUCCUACGGGAGGCAGCAGUGGGGAAUAUUGCACAAUGGGCGCAAGCCUGAUGCAGCCAUGCCGCGUGUGUGAAGAAGGCCUUCGGGUUGUAAAGCACUUUCAGCGAGGAGGAAGGUGGUGAGGUUAAUACGCUCAUCAAUUGACGUUACCCGCAGAAGAAGCACCGGCUAACUCCGUGCCAGCAGCCGCGGUAAUACGGAGGGUGCAAGCGUUAAUCGGAAUUACUGGGCGUAAAGCGCACGCAGGCGGUCUGUCAAGUCGGAUGUGAAAUCCCCGGGCUCAACCUGGGAACUGCAUUCGAAACUG